This 253-nucleotide ribosomal RNA is filed under the name uncultured bacterium. RNAcentral describes it as "partial 16S ribosomal RNA". It matches the Rfam family "Bacterial small subunit ribosomal RNA", at positions 524 to 776 of the family's 1533-position model. The record is from RNAcentral.
UACGAAGGGGGCUAGCGUUGCUCGGAAUCACUGGGCGUAAAGGGUGCGUAGGCGGGUUUUUAAGUCAGGGGGGAAAUCCUGGAGCUCAACUCCAGAACUGCCUUUGAUACUGAAGAUCUUGAGUUCGGGAGAGGUGAGUGGAACUGCGAGUGUAGAGGUGAAAUUCGUGGAUAUUCGCAAGAACACCAGUGGCGAAGGCGGCUCACUGGCCCGAUACUGACGCUGAGGCACGAAAGCGUGGGGAGCAAACAGG